RNAcentral lists this ribosomal RNA (373 nucleotides) under uncultured Gammaproteobacteria bacterium. RNAcentral describes it as "bacterial SSU rRNA". It matches the Rfam family "Bacterial small subunit ribosomal RNA", at positions 794 to 1167 of the family's 1533-position model. The record is from RNAcentral. Lineage: Bacteria; Pseudomonadati; Pseudomonadota; Gammaproteobacteria.
UCCACGCUGUAAACGAUGUCAACUUGGAGUCUGUGCCAUUUGAGCGCGGGUUCCGGAGCUAACGCGUUAAGUUGACCGCCUGGGGAGUACGGCCGCAAGGUUAAAACUCAAAUGAAUUGACGGGGGCCCGCACAAGCGGUGGAGCAUGUGGUUUAAUUCGAUGCAACGCGAAGAACCUUACCUACCCUUGACAUAGUAAGAACUUGGCAGAGAUGCCUUGGUGCCUUCGGGAACUUACAUACAGGUGCUGCAUGGCUGUCGUCAGCUCGUGUCGUGAGAUGUUGGGUUAAGUCCCGCAACGAGCGCAACCCUUAUCCUUUGUUGCCAGCGAUUCGGUCGGGAACUCAAAGGAGACUGCCGGUGAUAAACCGGA